This 127-nucleotide small RNA is filed under the name Marmota monax (woodchuck). The record is from RNAcentral. Lineage: Eukaryota; Metazoa; Chordata; Mammalia; Rodentia; Sciuridae.
GCUGGGUGUGGUGGUACGCACCUGUAAUCCCAGUGGCUUGGGAAGCUGAGACAGGAGAAUGGCGAUUUCAAAGCCAGCCUCAGCAAAAAAACGAGGCGCUAAGCAACUCAGUGAGACCUUGUCUCUA